This 1372-nucleotide ribosomal RNA is filed under the name uncultured bacterium. RNAcentral's name for it is "bacterial SSU rRNA". It matches the Rfam family "Bacterial small subunit ribosomal RNA", at positions 28 to 1381 of the family's 1533-position model. The record is from RNAcentral.
GAUAAACGCUGGCGGCGUGCCUAAUACAUGCAAGUCGAGCGAACGGACGAGAAGCUUGCUUCUCUGAUGUUAGCGGCGGACGGGUGAGUAACACGUGGAUAACCUACCUAUAAGACUGGGAUAACUUCGGGAAACCGGAGCUAAUACCGGAUAAUAUUUUGAACCGCAUGGUUCAAAAGUGAAAGACGGUCUUGCUGUCACUUAUAGAUGGAUCCGCGCUGCAUUAGCUAGUUGGUAAGGUAACGGCUUACCAAGGCAACGAUGCAUAGCCGACCUGAGAGGGUGAUCGGCCACACUGGAACUGAGACACGGUCCAGACUCCUACGGGAGGCAGCAGUAGGGAAUCUUCCGCAAUGGGCGAAAGCCUGACGGAGCAACGCCGCGUGAGUGAUGAAGGUCUUCGGAUCGUAAAACUCUGUUAUUAGGGAAGAACAUAUGUGUAAGUAACUGUGCACAUCUUGACGGUACCUAAUCAGAAAGCCACGGCUAACUACGUGCCAGCAGCCGCGGUAAUACGUAGGUGGCAAGCGUUAUCCGGAAUUAUUGGGCGUAAAGCGCGCGUAGGCGGUUUUUUAAGUCUGAUGUGAAAGCCCACGGCUCAACCGUGGAGGGUCAUUGGAAACUGGAAAACUUGAGUGCAGAAGAGGAAAGUGGAAUUCCAUGUGUAGCGGUGAAAUGCGCAGAGAUAUGGAGGAACACCAGUGGCGAAGGCGACUUUCUGGUCUGUAACUGACGCUGAUGUGCGAAAGCGUGGGGAUCAAACAGGAUUAGAUACCCUGGUAGUCCACGCCGUAAACGAUGAGUGCUAAGUGUUAGGGGGUUUCCGCCCCUUAGUGCUGCAGCUAACGCACUAAGCACUCCGCCUGGGGAGUACGACCGCAAGGUUGAAACUCAAAGGAAUUGACGGGGACCCGCACAAGCGGUGGAGCAUGUGGUUUAAUUCGAAGCAACGCGAAGAACCUUACCAAAUCUUGACAUCCUUUGACAACUCUAGAGAUAGAGCCUUCCCCUUCGGGGGACAAAGUGACAGGUGGUGCAUGGUUGUCGUCAGCUCGUGUCGUGAGAUGUCGGGUUAAGUCCCGCAACGAGCGCAACCCUUAAGCUUAGUUGCCAUCAUUAAGUUGGGCACUCUAAGUUGACUGCCGGUGACAAACCGGAGGAAGGUGGGGAUGACGUCAAAUCAUCAUGCCCCUUAUGAUUUGGGCUACACACGUGCUACAAUGGACAAUACAAAGGGCAGCGAAACCGCGAGGUCAAGCAAAUCCCAUAAAGUUGUUCUCAGUUCGGAUUGUAGUCUGCAACUCGACUACAUGAAGCUGGAAUCGCUAGUAAUCGUAGAUCAGCAUGCUACGGUGAAUACGUUCCCGGGUCU